Long non-coding RNA from Brassica napus (rape), 1046 nucleotides. RefSeq lists it as uncharacterized. The transcript is spliced from 2 exons. The record is from RefSeq and is a predicted model, not a curated record. NCBI's taxonomy places the organism in Eukaryota, Viridiplantae, Streptophyta, Magnoliopsida, Brassicales, Brassicaceae.
UAAUCCAAUUAGAUUAAUUGGUUAUAAAGACUAAAUAGUUGAUAAAAUUGAUUUUUGGCAGUGAGUUACAAACGGCCUCUGUUUUAUUUGGUUCAUUAGUUUGAUGGUUUCUGGUUUGUAGUGGUUGGAUAUGGUUUUCUCGGUCAAUUUUUUGGGUUUUCUUAUCUAUCCAAUCUAGAUAAAUUUUUAGUUUAUGGCUUAACAUGGUCUCACCACCGGUCCGGUUUGGGUUGAAAAACACUUGUUCGUAUUAAAUUGAUUAUAAGCUAUUAAAAAUUAUAGGCUAGUCCAACAAUUAAUACAUUUUCUGAAAAUCUUUGAAACCAUCUAUCUUGGUGGCAAGGUCCUUUCUGUUUUACUACCCUUUUUGAUUUUCGAAAUUGAUUCCCAUUAUUAAAUCGGGAUGUGAGUAAAGCUAGAGUCUUUGUUUCUGGGUUUAUCUUAAAACUUGCUUGAAUUUUCUAGGGGUUGUUGAGACAGCUUGUCUUAUGGCCUCUGAUGGUUAUAGCGGAGAGGCUUUUUUAUUCAUUUUGAUGGUAAAGGGUGGCAUGUAAUGAGGUUUCUCUACCAUUUUGAUUCCAGAUGAGCGUGUGGCUACUGAGCUAAAGAAAGCCAUCAUGCAAGCCUGCACUGAGAAGAAGCUUACCCAGUCCCAACUUGCUCAAGUUUAGGGAAGAAUGGUGAGCUGGUGAGAAAAUCGAGUGGGAACAGGAGCCCUAAGUCGAUUGUUGAACCAGCAAAGUAUGUAGAGAAGCCAGCCAAAUGGGGGAAUCAGAAGGUUGCUCCACAAAACAUCCACCAGCCUCGUUGAAGUGGGGAUUGUGUUAACUAGUCAGGGUAUGUUGUAUCUUUAGCCACUAUACCUUUGUAAUUUUUAGUAUUUGCUUUCAACAAGAGAACAUGUGCACACACAUAUAACAACAACAACAAGAAAACAAUGUUUUAAUUUUUUUUUAAAAACCUUUAAUUAAGAGACUAGCAUUGGAGCAUAAAAAUAUUAGUCUCUUAAUUUGGUUUCUUAAGUAAUAUUAAUUAUUUAAAAAUGA